RNAcentral lists this ribosomal RNA (465 nucleotides) under uncultured bacterium. RNAcentral describes it as "partial 16S ribosomal RNA". It matches the Rfam family "Bacterial small subunit ribosomal RNA", at positions 28 to 506 of the family's 1533-position model. The record is from RNAcentral.
GAUGAACGCUGGCGGCGUGCUUAACACAUGCAAGUCGAACGGAAAGGCUCCUGCUUGCAGGGGUACUCGAGUGGCGAACGGGUGAGUAACACGUGGGUGAUCUGCCCUGCACUUCGGGAUAAGCUUGGGAAACUGGGUCUAAUACCGGAUAGGACCGCAUUUUGGAUGGUGUGGUGGAAAGUUUUUUCGGUGUGGGAUGAGCUCGCGGCCUAUCAGCUUGUUGGUGGGGUAAUGGCCUACCAAGGCGUCGACGGGUAGCCGGCCUGAGAGGGUGUACGGCCACAUGGGGACUGAGAUACGGCCCAGACUCCUACGGGAGGCAGCAGUGGGGAAUAUUGCACAAUGGGCGCAAGCCUGAUGCAGCGACGCCGCGUGGGGGAUGACGGCCUUCGGGUUGUAAACUCCUUUCGCUAGGGACGAAGAGUAAUUGACGGUACCUGGAGAAGAAGCACCGGCUAACUACGU